This is a non-coding RNA of Meleagris gallopavo (turkey), 6543 nucleotides long. Lineage: Eukaryota; Metazoa; Chordata; Aves; Galliformes; Phasianidae. The record is from RefSeq and is a predicted model, not a curated record.
CUGAGGUGCAUGAUGGCGAUGGUUUGGUGGUUGGACUAGGUGAUCUGUUCCAACCUUAGUGAUUCUGUGAGAGUUACCUAAAAGAGAGGUAUUGAUGUGAAAAGCUUUCAUAUGUGUGGGAGAGACUGUUGGACUAUCUGUUUUAUCCAAUGCACUGUAAUUGUAAACACAAUAGCUGAAAGAAUCUAGGAGUCUGUGCACUGCGUUAAGAGAGUUAUAUUCCAGAGCUUAAGCAAGUAUCUAUCUCUGGACAACAUUAUGCUCUGUUAUUUUAGUCUAGUCACUUGCCUGAACUUAAUUUUGGCAUUCCAAAACAACUUUGUGGUGAUCUAGAAUAAUCCAACCCAUGUUGAGUUACCAUUUCUUUGUCACAAUUGGCUUGGUGUUCAGCUGCAGCCAAAACAGCCCUGAUUGGGAUGGGUACUGAGAACAAUUUUCUCACUGUAGAAAAUCUUUUAUGUCCCCACAUCUUGAUUACUGCAUGUAUUCUUGAUGGUCUCCACAUCUCAUGAAAAGCGUAGUUUGAAGAGGAAAAAAAGAUUUUAAACAACAAGCUAGGAGUAAGUACACCGAAAGUUAUUAAGGGUUUGUAACAGCAGGCUCACUUCAGUUUGGAGAGAAGGCUGAAUAGAGCUGGGCUUGAUAUACCAUAUCAAGAGCAAUGCAAAAGAUGAGUGCUAAACUUAUUUGUCAGAUCCUGUAAUAGCAGACUGGGGACAUGGAUUGAAACUGAUAGGAGAUAAUUUAAAGUGGAUUUUAAAAACUGUAUGCCCUCAAAGCAUGUGAUUUGCUGUUGCAAGAAAGUGUGAAGUCUUAAGACACUUGCAGCACAUCAAGAACUUCAAAGCGAAGUUUAUCCUUUAAUGGAUAAAAGGUGCAAAUCAGAUACUUUUGGCAAUAGGUAAGAAUGUUCCUGAUGACACCCAUGAUCUAAAAGCAUGAUGCAGGAUGAGUAUGAAGAUUGGACCUCAGUAUCUUGUUCCAUGUGCUCUCCUUGAGCAAAUUCUGCAGCAGCCACUGUGUGAGAUAAAACUGGGCAAGUGGAUCAUUGAUGUCAUCCUGUGGGCAUUCUUGAUUGGAACGGAUAUGGUGGAUGUGCUUCCAGGAAUGAUAAAAGAAGCUAGAUGGCUACCUAAAGCCUUCUUUCAUUAUCACAGCCAUAAAAAGGUACAAAAAGAAGCAAUAGUACUUGCAGAGCAAGUGAAGAGGAGGUGGCUACUUUGGCCCUCGGAUGGUCAAGAAACUUGGGUGGCUAGAAUGUUUUUUCUAGACUUUUUUUAGGAAUCUCCUUGAUUAGCAUCUGACUCAAAAAUGAAGGUUAACGGGAGCUGUAGAAGGGCUGACAUACUGAGUUAUCAAAGUGAAGGAAACAAUAAGCCUUGGUCAUCAUGAGAAAUACAUUACUGUGAUGUACUUCUUUUGGAACCACCUGUCAAGCCAGCUCAGAAACUGAUGUCUGAAGGGCUGAAUUUGGCACAUGUUCUCUAUUGCUCAGCAAGCAUAUUGCCUUUGUGCACCAGAAUGAGGUAUUUCCAAAAGGAACUGAAAGUCCUUUAUUCUUUUGCUCCAUAAUAUAUCCAAUGACCCAGACCUGCCCAUGUUAGAGAGCAGCUCAUCUCCUUCCACAAUAUUUCACCCAGCAGGAAAGGUGAGCUGGCACUUUUUUGGUAUAGUAGUGAAGGAGCUCUUGGCACUUCAGUAGGCAUUUCUCCCUUUGAUCUAAACUAGCCCAUGCACAUCGACUUCUCUGGCACACUGCAAAGCUCACCAGUUCUCUCAAGUUUUUCUGAGAGGAACAGUAUAGUGAAGGUGGUGAAAGGGUGAGCGGGGGCAAGGAUUUAUUUGUUUUUUCUUUCUCUUAGCUGUUAUUGGCUUCAGAUCUGAGGAACAAAGCUAAAUUUGUAAUUUGUAACGACUGUAUUUUGAAAUUGCCAGUUGCUCCAGAUAAUGAAGCAGGGAUUUUUGCCCAGAGGAGAAGAAAUGAAAAUAAAUAAAUAUGGAUCAUUUUCACCUAAUUUACGAUCUGCAAAUGUGGUUCCUCCUCAACCUACAUGAUUAAUUCUCUUCAAUCAAGAAUGACCAUCUUGAUUACAUCUUCUAACAAUAAAAAGCCAUGAAAACUUUCUUUCAUGAGAGAAAAUAAAUCCAACAAUAUCAGAUGACUGCAGUAUAGAUCUUUUUGCCAUUUGUACUGUUUUUAACCAUAUCACAGCCAAUAUAUAAAUUAUGGUAAUUCACCUUUAACAUCACUGUCAAACUGAGUAUAGACAGUUUAAUGGAAAUUGCCCUUACUUGUACCAACUGUAAAUACUGUAGAGCUGUUAAACUGUUUUGUAUGGGCAGCCUAAGAACUAAUACUACCUGUUGUAACAGAUGCUCAUUAUUAUAUAGCUGCUUUUGUUUUUUGACCAUGUGGAUGUAACAAGGUGAAUUAGAAAGAUUUGGUUGUUGUUGUUGUUGUUUUUUAUUAUUUUUAUUUUUAAAGUUGAAUUCUAUUAAUGUUUUUUGAGGCCCAGUGUUCUUUUAUUGAAAUAUUUUACAGUUUAAGUGCUUAUAGAAGAUGGUUGAUUCCCAAAGGGAAAAGUGCAGCAGUUGUGUGUUAAGGUCUCUGUUCACUUAUCAUCCCAGCCUCAGAAAUGUGUUUCCACUAACCGAAGAGCAUGAUAAGCUGAAGGAGAGGGUGUGCAAGUUAGGCAUUUGGCAAUGCUUCCACUGGAGCUGCUGUGCUGGGGUAGUACUAGAGGUUCAUGAAGUGAGGUGUUCUUUCGAGUCUAUCAUGUCUCAGCUACUUUACAAUCUCUGGAGGGUCCCAGGCAGAGUUUCUAUGAGCUGUGCCUUGGUGUUCACCAGAUAGUACAUGUGCUGCAGAUGUUUUAGCUUGCUCACCUGAAGUUUAUGAUAACUACAACACGUGGUAUGUUUUGGAUGAUCUCAAUAGUAAGUCUAGUAUCUUAUUUCUGAGGCAUUUUUGUUGCAUGAAGCAAUAAAUUCAAUUCUGUCAUCAUUAGGCAGGUGUUUAUAUGUACUGCAAGACUUUAAUCUCUCCCCUGGGAACAAAAUACUUUAGGGGGCCAUUCUACUACUUGGUGUUUGCUUUCCAUCUCUGGCAUGUUUCUGUUUCUCUCUAUGCCAGGAGAACAAGCAUGGUUUUAUGGUUAGGAUGCUGGCUUUGGAUUGUUUCCUGGCUCUGCUAUGAAGGCUGGAGCAUGUCUGUCUCUCAGCUCACCAACCUCAGUGUGGGGGUAACAGCUUCUUUUCCUGCCAUGUGUUUCAUCUGCUUAACCUGGAAGAUCUUCAGGACGUAGACUGUGCUGUGAUAAGUAGGGACAGUACCUGCUCUGCAAGACCUUUUCAGCCAAGAAUGGUUACAUCUUAGGGCCAGGUGGCGAAGUGGCGAACAGAGUCUGAUUUGUAGUUCAGAAGAUGCAAUCUUAAACUGGAGACGGGGAGAGAGAAGUUUGCUCCUUGAUGCUCAAACAGUUUCUUGGGACUUUUGGGUUUUUUUCUUCAAUGACUAAGAUGCUGAAGCAAUCCAUGGGACAAAACACCAGAACUGAUAGUUACUUUCUUCUGGCACUAGUGCAUCAACAGUUGUUAAGAGUUCCCACUCAGAAGACCUAGACGUUUACUGAUGGAGAUGUGCUCAUGCAGACAGCUUUCUAUAGGACCUCAUGAGGAUGUGGGAUAGGCUGCCAGGAGGCUCCCACCCAGCCAAGUCUGCUCUUCCCGGUCUAUUGCUACUGGCAGGUCCAACCUUGAGGUUGUGUUUAAGCUCAAGGUAGCGCAGAAAUGAAACUGUAAUCUUAGAUACAGAAAUAUAAAAAUGGAUGUGCUCCACUGUAAGACAUUAUUCUUUUACAUCAUUGUCUCAAAGCUUGCUGGGGACACAGAUGAACAAAUCCAAGCAAGUCCCGGGCAAGGGUUGAGAAAUCCUUUGUCUGGAGAACACCAAUGGACAAGGCCUGGGCAAGGGUUGUGAAAUCCACUGUCUGAGGGACACAGAUGGACAAGGCAAGGCCAGGGGCAACGAGAGAGAGAUAAGCUGCAGCUUAAUGGCCAUGAAGCGGUCUUUUGUGUGGGCUUAUCUCGAGGAAGAUGGCCAUCUCAGGAGGUGCUGCACAUGACUUUUACCCAAGCGCCCAGGAAUGCCAUGCUGGCAGAAGAAGGAGGAUAAAAAGGGGACCUACAACCAUGAGGUUGAGGUUUUUCCGGCAACAGAUUCCUCGUGAAGAAAAAGAGAAGCUUCUGACUUGAGAAACCUCACGAUCUGCCUCUCUCCCUGGACUUGCUCUGCACUCUACCAGCAUGCUGAAGAACAGAGGUGUCUGCCAUCAGAUUCAUCACUAUGGAAUGCCUGCAUGCUGACAGACUCUCCUGGGCCUGCUGCCUGAGUCCUGCUACUUCCUCCCAGACUGGCUCUGCGACUUCUUCCUGCUACUUGUUUGCCGCCCAAGGCCCGCCACGUUGCUGCUCUCCCCCCCUGCUACUUUUGUCUUGGACCUUCAAAACGUCGUGCAACGGGACCGCUGCUGGAUCCUGGUGGUCAGUCCAUAAACCAGAUGGUAUUUCUUACUGCAUGGGGACAGCAGCUAGAAGAUAAUGCAAAAAGAAAACAGACCAUGUUUAUAUUUUCUAUUGUUGAAAUACUAUCAACAAGGUAGAGCCUGCUGGCUACAGGAAGUGCAAUGGGAAGUGCAAGGACAGAAGGUCCAGUGACACAGAAUGGUACAAAGCCAACAUCAAAAUCAUCAACCAUAUCCUUUCCUCCAACGACGAGCUGGAAAUCAGUUUCUGUGCUGUGAAUAUUUACUUGCUUUAGAGGAGCUUCCUAGCAGCUACAGCUGCAUUGCUUCUCUGGCUGCCAGCCCAGCUAAUACCAUGGUAAUGCAGUCAUGCAGUUUGUUCUGCAGCUAAGUUCCUAUUUGAACAUCUUUACUUCCUGAAAUUGAAGAUUAAACAUCUCUCUUGUGCUUUUCUAAAGGCUUUACAUAAAUCAUUUGUGUCAGUACACACAAGAGCAAAUCCCACUCUGCUGUCGGCGUGGCUGCUCCCCAGUACAGCUCUGCUCCUAAAGAUAUGUGUGGCAUUUGUGGACCUGGCACUGCUACAAUCAGGCUGAGGACUGAUGUUAGCUGAAGUGAAUCUAGUACUUAAAAUGUCAGUAGAUUUUGUGCUCUUAAAAGUGAUGGACUAAUACUCUUUGGCUUGCAACUAGAAUAAUAUAAGUUUCUCCAGGUGUUUUUGCCAAGCUUGCUCAAUCUUGGCCUAUAUUCUUUCUGCUGUAGAAGCUUUAGUCUGAACUAGACCAACUACUGAGGAACAUCCAGUUGGGAAUAAUCUUGCACUAGGAUGGUGAUGACCAAAAUGAUCUAAUAAAUCUUCCUCACCUUUACUUUCUAUCUUUCCUUUUUCUCUUAUAUUUCUCCUUGCUAGUUGGAGAGAAUUUUGUGGCUUGUGGACCAAGAAGACAAUGACAGACCUGUGGUCUUGGUUUUUCAGUGAUGAAAAGCCAGAACAGCUCAAAGAUAGACUCACAGAAGAAGGUUUAACAUUGAUGUUUACAUGGUCCUCAGGGUACAGAUGUUCUGCUGGGUAUUCCUAUCAUUCUGACAAGCAGGCAGCAUUUUGUUCUCGUCGGGAUUUCCAAAUGUUUGGGGUAUUGGAACAGAAGAAACUGUAUCUUUCUAGAGAUUAUUUUUGUGGAAUGUAUUAUGAAAAAGAGGUCCUUAGGAAAUAGCAAGUCACCAGAAUGCUUAUUAAAAUGACCUUAAGGUCAGAUUCUGCCACUGUUAAUCACAAUAGUUGUUCCUUACUCUGUGAGCUUUCUCAUUGGAUUCAGUGGGAUUACUCAAGGAAUUUGGAUACUACCUGAUGGGACCAAAGCGGCAGCAAGACUAGCCUUAAUAAUUGUAGCAGCUGUAACACAACAUGCCUUUGUUUUUACCUUACCUUUUAGCUAGUUAAAAAUAUGUUGCAUGACAUUUUUUUUCUUUUGAGGAUUCCUUUUUCAAAAAGAUGAAACUUUGUCUUGGAAAUGUAUUCUGUCAUUUUUUGCCAUCAAUACUUUAAUAUAUUUAUUGUCAUAGUGUGAAGUUGUGAAGUCUUCUUUGCUGAGAUUUGCUUCACGUUUUGUAUCUCUCUCUUGUUUGUUCUAAAAAACUCUGUAAUAGGAAAAAUAAAAUAAUUUUAUUCUGAACUCUCCUUGAAAGAGAGCCUCUUCAGGCUUCACAAAUGUAUUUUCCAGGGUUUGUUUGUAUUUCUGUUUUAUUUUAAGCCACCUCUAGUAAGUAGCUAAUUUAGAACUGGGUAAUACUUCCUACUCUUUCUGACAUUGUAAGACUUGACUCAGUAUUCCAAGAGCUGCAUGAAACAGAAUGAAAAUGCCACACAAUUCUGAAUAUAAUUGGGAAACUUACCUAUGAAGAGUCAUUUACUUCCACAAAUUGAAGUGAUGAGAAUUUACACAAUUUUAUGCGCUGAGAGAAAAAGAUGCAGGAAUUAUUUUUUUCUUUCUUCUCACAGAAAAAGAAAGCAGAUUUGGCC